GGAGAGAUGGCCGAGCGGCUGAAGGCGCACGCUUGGAAAGCGUGUUUACCUCACGGUAACGUGGGUUCGAAUCCCACUCUCUCCG
RNAcentral lists this transfer RNA (85 nucleotides) under Deltaproteobacteria bacterium. Its description in RNAcentral is "tRNA-Ser". It matches the Rfam family "tRNA". From Rfam's summary of the family: Transfer RNA (tRNA) molecules are approximately 80 nucleotides in length. The record is from RNAcentral. Lineage: Bacteria; Pseudomonadati; Myxococcota; Myxococcia.